This 401-nucleotide ribosomal RNA is filed under the name uncultured Candidatus Saccharibacteria bacterium. Its description in RNAcentral is "bacterial SSU rRNA". It matches the Rfam family "Bacterial small subunit ribosomal RNA", at positions 358 to 774 of the family's 1533-position model. Lineage: Bacteria; Candidatus Saccharimonadota. The record is from RNAcentral.
GGAAUCUUUCACAAUGGGCGAAAGCCUGAUGGAGCAACGCCGCGUGCAGGAUGAAGGCCUUCGGGUUGUAAACUGCUUUUAUAAUCGAGAAAUAUGAUGGUAGGUUAUGAAUAAGGAUCGGCUAACUACGUGCCAGCAGCCGCGGUCAUACGUAGGAUCCGAGCAUUAUCCGGAGUGACUGGGUGUAAAGAGUUGCGUAGGUGGCAAGUUAAGUAGCUAGUGAAAUCUGGUGGCUCAACCAUUCAGACUAUUAGCUAAACUGACUAGCUCGAGAGCGUUAGGGGUAGCUGGAAUUUCUAGUGUAGGAGUGAAAUCCGUAGAUAUUAGAAAGAACACCGAUAGCGUAGGCAGGCUACUGGGACGUUUCUGACACUAAGGCACGAAAGCGUAGGGAGCAAACG